GUGCCAGCAGCCGCGGUAACACGUAGGAGCCAAGCGUUAUCCGAAUUCACUGGGCGUAAAGCGCGUGCAGGCGGCACGAUAAGUUGGAUGUGAAAGCUCCUGGCUCAACUGGGAGAGGACGUUCAAUACUGUCGAGCUAGAGGACGGCAGAGGGAGGUGGAAUUCCCGGUGUAGUGGUGAAAUGCGUAGAUAUCGGGAGGAACACCAGUGGCGAAGGCGGCCUUCUGGGCCGUUACUGACGCUCAGACGCGAAAGCUAGGGGAGCGAACGGGAUUAGAAACCCGUGUAGUCC
Molecule: ribosomal RNA, 292 nt
Filed under: uncultured bacterium
Lineage: Bacteria
Description: partial 16S ribosomal RNA
Rfam family: Bacterial small subunit ribosomal RNA
Source: RNAcentral